GGGAGAAACAAAUCUUCAUUGAUCUAUUAUCCAAGACACGGAAACUACUCCUUCCUCUAUUAUUUAUUUACAUUCAACAGAGUAGGGCCUAUUCCAUGAAUAACGCCAACUACUUAAUAACUCAAUAACUUCUUUAAUAGAUUCUCUUAAUAGCCUAACAAAACUCCCAACGAUACUCUGUAUUCUCAUAACAAUACUCCCCCGCUCAAGCUUCCUUGUCCCUAAGGAAGGAACAAGUAAACCAGCUGUAAUGUUGAAGCUAAGUGACCACUAGAAGAAGAAGCAUGGAUCAUGGCCAGGAACUAUUGACGUGAAUUACUGUCAUGUCCUACCUUCAAGUGCCUUUUAUUCACAGUUGUUGGUUUUACCAUUGGAAAGCAGCAUGAGACGAUUCUUUUCCAUAACAUUGACAUUUUUUUCAGCAAUAAGGGCACAAUCUUCACCUCAUCAAAUCUCUUCCCCUGCCUUCUCCACUUCUCAAAUUCAUCUUCUUUAAGGAUAAUGUGAUCAUGUGAAAGAAACCCAAAAUCAUUGUCACCCAAUUCAAAAUCACCACAAUUCUUGUAUCUUCUUUUUCUGCCAAUCCCUUCUCUUUGCUUCUCAGUUUUUCUGGCAACAAGAACAUAUUCUCCACCUCCGUAUACCAUAAAUGAUUUAGGGACAGAAAUUAUACCAUUACUGUAAUGGAUAAAAGAACUUUGAUUAAUUGCAAUUUCAGGAUGAUCCAACUUCCUAAGAAGAGAUUUCAGAUUUCCUGCAGGAAAAAUGGGUAGUUUUGGUAGUUCAGAUGUUGACAGUGGGCUAGAUUGAUCCUUAGUAACAAUAGGUUUAGCCAAAUUGGAUUAGGGAUUGGGUGGAAUAAGAGGAAAUGAAGUAUUAACAAAGAUUAUGGGUUUGGUAACUAGUUUGGCCUUAUUCCUAAUUGUUGCCAUAGUUAUCUCUUGCAACCUAGCCAGUAAAUAUGCCUUUGCAAGUAUCCUUGGAUUAAACAUUCUCACUGAAAUUUGCAACUCAUCAACUAAUCCAGAAAGAAAAUAACUCAACCCUUCACUUUCUUGAAUCCCCGCUUUUGAAUACAACUGCUCUAAAGAAUCCAUGCAAUCUUGCAAGAUAGAUUCUUGUUUCAAAUUUUUUAUAUCCUCUAAUGGAUCUUCCAUUGCUCCUGUAGGUUCUCCUUGAGUCACAUUAAUAGCAAUCUCCAUAUUCCUCAAACUUAAACCAUUAAGCAAGGUUUUAAUUUCUCCCAAAGCUUCUUGGUGUCGUUGCUCUGCUUCCUUUCGCAAAACCUCCUGCCUUUGCUCUAAUUCUUGCAUCAUUAUUGUCAGCUUCCUUUCCCAUUCAGGAAUACCCUCCUCCAUGGCCAAGGAAUCGACAAGCUCUGAUACCAUUGUUACAUGUUUUUUUCAAUCACAGAAAUACAAGAGCAGAAAGAACAGAGAACAGAAAGAGAGAAUCAAUAGAAUUCAGAGAGAGAAACAAAUCUUCAUUGAUUUAUUAUCCAAGACUU
This 1507-nucleotide unclassified non-coding RNA is filed under the name Hevea brasiliensis (rubber tree). Lineage: Eukaryota; Viridiplantae; Streptophyta; Magnoliopsida; Malpighiales; Euphorbiaceae. The record is from RNAcentral.